CAAUCUGAAAUAUUGGGCCUUGGCCCAUCUAAGUUACUUAGGUAUUAAGUCUUGGCCCAUACUACUUCAAUCAUAAGCUAUUUAUUAAUUACUUCUCUAGAACCUACUUGAUAACUUAAAAAAAAAAAAAAAAAUAACAAUAAAAGAAUAAAAAGGGAGAGAAGUAUCAGCAUAGUUCCAAUAAGAAUAAAAAAAAACAAGAGCUACAGGGAAAGGAAGUGAAGAAAAGGAGCUAGAGACUUAGAACCAGAUAAGAAAAAUUCAAGAUCCAACUAGUUUCUCCAUUCUUGACUUUGCAAAUAACUGAUACUUCAAGGGGACAAUUGCCGGAAGCGAAUUGGAGUUACUCAGCAAGAGUACAAUAAUUUAGCCGAAGGUGACAUUCUGACUCAGACGGAGCGAUAAACAGAGCUGACAACGAAUCCAGUAAGCCCCGCACUUGUUUCGCGAGGGCAACCAUGUUGCUAACUACUAUAGUAUAUUAGUUUUUUUUUUUCUUUCUUUCUUUCUAAUCCUAGAGUUUUGCUCCUUAAGUCGGCCUUGUAUAUCUUAUUUUGGCUUGUGUUAGUAAAGUAUAGCUUGGGACUUAUAAGUUUUGCGGAAGCCUAUGGCUUG
Molecule: long non-coding RNA, 615 nt
Organism: Lycium ferocissimum
Lineage: Eukaryota; Viridiplantae; Streptophyta; Magnoliopsida; Solanales; Solanaceae
Exons: 3
Source: RefSeq, a predicted model, not a curated record